Molecule: ribosomal RNA, 447 nt
Filed under: uncultured bacterium
Lineage: Bacteria
Description: bacterial SSU rRNA
Rfam family: Bacterial small subunit ribosomal RNA
Source: RNAcentral
GAUGAACGCUGGCGGCGCGCCUAACACAUGCAAGUCGAACGGCACCUAUCUUCGGAUAGAAGCGAGUGGCGAACGGCUGAGUAACACGUGGAGAACCUGCCCCCUCCCCCGGGAUAGCCGCCCGAAAGGACGGGUAAUACCGGAUACCCCGGGGUGCCGCAUGGCACCCCGGCUAAAGCCCCGACGGGAGGGGAUGGCUCCGCGGCCCAUCAGGUAGACGGCGGGGUGACGGCCCACCGUGCCGACAACGGGUAGCCGGGUUGAGAGACCGACCGGCCAGAUUGGGACUGAGACACGGCCCAGACUCCUACGGGAGGCAGCAGUGGGGAAUCUUGCGCAAUGGGGGGAACCCUGACGCAGCGACGCCGCGUGCGGGACGGAGGCCUUCGGGUCGUAAACCGCUUUCAGCAGGGAAGAGUCAAGACUGUACCUGCAGAAGAAGCCCCG